GGCGAGCCGCCGCGGGAACACCGGCAGCUCGUAGUGGUAGCAACUUUAUUGGGCCUAAAGCGUCCGUAGCCGGUUUAAUAAGUCUCUGGUGAAAUCCUGUAGCUUAACGUGUGGGAAUUGCUGGAGAUACUAUUAGACUUGAGACCGGGAGAGGUUGGAGGGUACUCCCAGGGUAGAGGUGAAAUUCUGUAAUCCUGGGAGGACCGCCUGUUGCGAAGGCGUCUAACUGGAACGGUUCUGACGGUGAGGGACGAAAGUUAGGGGCGCGAACCGGAUUAGAUACCCGGGUAGUCCUAACUGUAAACGAUGCGGACUUGGUGUUGGGGUGGCUUUGAGCUGCUCCAGUGCCGAAGGGAAGCUGUUAAGUCCGCCGCCUGGGAAGUACGGUCGCAAGACUGAAACUUAAGGAAUUGGCGGGGGAGCACCACAACGCGUGGAGCCUGCCGGUUUAAUUGGAUUCAACGCCGGACAUCUCACCAGAGGCGACAGCUGUAUGAUAGCCAGGUUGAUGACUUUGCUUGACUAGCUGAGAAGUGGUGCAUGG
This 544-nucleotide ribosomal RNA is filed under the name uncultured archaeon. RNAcentral's name for it is "bacterial SSU rRNA". It matches the Rfam family "Archaeal small subunit ribosomal RNA", at positions 456 to 997 of the family's 1478-position model. The record is from RNAcentral.